This 234-nucleotide long non-coding RNA is filed under the name Paramuricea clavata. The record is from RNAcentral. Lineage: Eukaryota; Metazoa; Cnidaria; Anthozoa; Malacalcyonacea; Plexauridae.
AGAAAAAACUAUUUAAAGAAUUAUUUGAGAAUCAUAUUCCACAUGCUCUAGGAAUAUUUGAGAAACUUCUGAAGUCUCGUGGUGGAAAAUAUUUUGCAGACAACAAGGUAAAUGAGGUUGUUCAUAUACCAUACUAUGCUCCCUUGGUCUGUUUCAUAAAAGUAUUGAUAGAACUGAUAAAAUAUGUGAUAUGUCAGGGCCUUCGCUCUACCCUAACCUAACCCUAACCCUGAC